UACAGAGGUCCCAAGCGUUGUUCGGAUUUACUGGGCGUAAAGGGUGCGUAGGUGGUAAGGUAAGUCUGAUGUGAAAUCUCCGAGCUUAACUCGGAAAUGGCAUUGGAAACUACCUGACUUGAGGGUUUGAGGGGGGACUGGAAUACUUGGUGUAGCAGUGAAAUGCGUAGAUAUCAAGUGGAACACCAGUGGCGAAGGCGAGUCCCUGGAAAAUACCUGACACUGAGGCACGAAAGCUAGGGGAGCAAACAGG
RNAcentral lists this ribosomal RNA (253 nucleotides) under uncultured bacterium. RNAcentral's name for it is "partial 16S ribosomal RNA". It matches the Rfam family "Bacterial small subunit ribosomal RNA", at positions 524 to 776 of the family's 1533-position model. The record is from RNAcentral.